GACGAACGCUGGCGGCGUGCCUAACACAUGCAAGUCGAGCGAUGAAGCCCUUCGGGGUGAAUUAGCGGCGGACGGGUGAGUAACACGUGGGCAACCUGCCUAUAAGACUGGGAUAACUUCGGGAAACCGGAGCUAAUACCGGAUAAUUCAUAUCUACUCAUGUAGGUAUGCUGAAAGACGGUUUACGCUGUCACUUAUAGAUGGGCCCGCGGCGCAUUAGCUAGUUGGUGAGGUAACGGCUCACCAAGGCAACGAUGCGUAGCCGACCUGAGAGGGUGAUCGGCCACACUGGGACUGAGACACGGCCCAGACACCUACGGGUGGCAG
Molecule: ribosomal RNA, 327 nt
Filed under: uncultured Bacillota bacterium
Lineage: Bacteria; Bacillati; Bacillota
Description: bacterial SSU rRNA
Rfam family: Bacterial small subunit ribosomal RNA
Source: RNAcentral